GAUGAAGAACGUAGCGAAAUGCGAUAAGUAAUGUGAAUUGCAGAAUUCAGUGAAUCAUCGAAUCUUUGAACGCACAUUGCGCCCUCUGGCAUUCCGGGGGGCAUGCCUGUCCGAGCGUCAUUGCUGCCCUCAAGCACGGCUUGUGUGUUGGGCCUCCGUCCUCCUCCCGGGGGACGGGCCCGAAAGGCAGCGGCGGCACCGCGUCCGGUCCUCGAGCGUAUGGGGCUUCGUCACCCGCUCUUGUAGGCCCGGCCGGCGCUUGCCGACACAUCAAUCUUUUUUCCAGGUUGACCUCGGAUCAGGUAGGGAUACCCGCUGAACUUAAGCAUAUCAAUAAGCGGAGGA
This 345-nucleotide unclassified non-coding RNA is filed under the name soil metagenome. RNAcentral's name for it is "partial contains 5.8S ribosomal RNA, internal transcribed spacer 2, and large subunit ribosomal RNA". The stretch from base 1 to 120 matches the Rfam family "5.8S ribosomal RNA", at positions 35 to 154 of the family's 154-position model. The record is from RNAcentral.